This 459-nucleotide ribosomal RNA is filed under the name uncultured bacterium. RNAcentral's name for it is "partial 16S ribosomal RNA". It matches the Rfam family "Bacterial small subunit ribosomal RNA", at positions 338 to 795 of the family's 1533-position model. The record is from RNAcentral.
CCUACGGGUGGCUGCAGUGAGGAAUAUUGGUCAAUGGUCGGGAGCCUGAACCAGCCAAGUAGCGUGAGGGAUGAAGGCACAACGGGUCGUAAACCGCUUUUGCACGGGGACAACACCCUCCACGUGUGGAGGUCUGCGGGUACCGGACGAAUAAGGGCCGGCUAAUUCCGUGCCAGCAGCCGCGGUAAUACGGAAGGCCCGAGCGUUAUCCGGAUUCAUUGGGCUUAAAGGGUGCGUAGGCGGGCGUUUAAGUCAGCUGUAAAAUCCCGGGGCUCAACCGCGCCCCGCCGUUGAAACUGGACGCCUUGAGUUCACAACAGGCAGGCGGAAUUCGUGGUGUAGCGGUGAAAUGCAUAGAUAUCACGAGGAACCCCGAUUGCGAAGGCAGCCUGCCGGGGUGCGACUGACGCUGAGGCUCGAAGGUGCGGGUAUCAAACAGGAUUAGAUACCCCGGUAGUC